GUGUCAGCAGCCGCGGUAAUACAGAGGGGGCAAGCGUUAUUCGGAAUUAUUGGGCGUAAAGGGCGCGUAGGCGGCUUGGCAAGUGGAAGGUGAAAUCCCUCGGCUUAACCGAGGAACUGCCCUCCAAACUGCUUUGCUUGAGGCCGGGAGAGGUGAGUGGAAUUCCCAGUGUAGCGGUGAAAUGCGUAGAUAUUGGGAGGAACACCAGUGGCGAAGGCGGCUCACUGGACCGGUUCUGACGCUGAGGCGCGAAAGCGUGGGGAGCAAACGGGAUUAGAAACCCUCGUAGUCC
Molecule: ribosomal RNA, 292 nt
Filed under: uncultured bacterium
Lineage: Bacteria
Description: partial 16S ribosomal RNA
Rfam family: Bacterial small subunit ribosomal RNA
Source: RNAcentral